Ornithorhynchus anatinus (platypus) is the source of this 1070-nucleotide long non-coding RNA. RefSeq lists it as uncharacterized. The record is from RefSeq and is a predicted model, not a curated record. The transcript has 2 exons. Lineage: Eukaryota; Metazoa; Chordata; Mammalia; Monotremata; Ornithorhynchidae.
AUUUCCCAGAUAGCGUUGAUAGAAAGCUGAGCUUAAAAUGCCCCUCGAGCUCCUCCACUCCAUCUCCCCCGUCCCGGCCCAACCCAGCGGCCUCAUGAGCCACCGGUUUCUCCUUCGCACGAGGCCGGCGAAGAUGUCUCCAACCCGAGUGGACUGAAACGCAAGAGGCAAAGGGAGGGACUUGGAAUGGAAAGGGGAAAAGGCAACGCCCGAUCCGUCUGGGAGACCGUUGGCCCAUUUGGUCCACAGACACUGUUGCCAGACCCGCUCGCUCUUCCCCUCUCGCGGCCUCCGCUCUAAACCCUUCUCAUUCUGCCGGACUGCAGGGGGGGCCCCCCCCCCAAAGUUUCAAAGCCACACCCCCGGGGGAAGAGGGGGGGAUUCUCCGGUUUUCUGCCACGCCACUGCCAGUCCCCUCUCGCUUGGCUGGUCCUCCAUCGCCCGGUGGGGCCCCCGUUGUCCCCGACGACCGCCAGGACCAUCCGCGACGACUCUGCAAAAUCGACACGAACGCCGCUCGGGGCGGGGCUUUUCCGCCGUCCGGCUACAGUUCGACCACCCUUGCCGGGGAGGUUAUGGAAUAUACCAAGAGUGUCAUCGGAUCAUCCAUCGGCCCAGACCUUCCAUCCGGAAGAGUCAAUAAACGGGUUCGUCUCCGAACAAAGGACACCGAUUGAAUUUUAAGUAGCGAAACCCGUUUCCUCCUGCAGAACGCUCCCCGAUCUUUUGUCCGAAAGAAAGCGGAGUUCGAGGGGCGAGAGGAGAAAAAAGAAGACUGUUGGGACCCUGUUUACCGGUCAUUCGCUCUGCCCCAUAAAAUAUCUGGGAUGUACAUUUUUAGUCAUCUCUAAUUUCCUCUCCUUCUUAACCUUUAUACUGUGAUUAUACGGUAACGACCGGUAAGGAAAAUAAAUGAUCGAUUUUUUUUUUCCACAAAAGCGAAGGGAAAGUUUCCAGCUCAAGGGAUCGUAGAGAAACAAAAGACUAAGGGGGUUUUCCGGUGGCCCGACAAAGAGGGCGAGGAAGAGGACAAUCCGCUGGGCUUUAUGCAAUAAAACGAUCCCAAUCGA